Triticum aestivum (bread wheat) is the source of this 114-nucleotide non-coding RNA. Lineage: Eukaryota; Viridiplantae; Streptophyta; Magnoliopsida; Poales; Poaceae. The record is from Rfam.
UAAAUACUCCCUCUAUCUGGAAAUACUUGCCGGAGAAAUGGAUGUAUCUAUAAUUAAAAUACGUCUAGAUACAUCCAUCUCUCCGACAAGUAUUUCUGGACGAGGGAGUACGAG